This 344-nucleotide unclassified non-coding RNA is filed under the name soil metagenome. Its description in RNAcentral is "partial contains 5.8S ribosomal RNA, internal transcribed spacer 2, and large subunit ribosomal RNA". The stretch from base 1 to 119 matches the Rfam family "5.8S ribosomal RNA", at positions 35 to 154 of the family's 154-position model. The record is from RNAcentral.
GAUGAAGAACGUAGCGAAAUGCGAUAAGUAAUGUGAAUUGCAAAUUCAGUGAAUCAUCGAGUCUUUGAACGCACAUUGCGCCCCCUGGUAUUCCGGGGGGCAUGCCUGUCCGAGCGUCAUUGCUGCCCUCAAGCACGGCUUGUGUGUUGGGCCCCGUCCUCCGAUCCCGGGGGACGGGCCCGAAAGGCAGCGGCGGCAUCGCGUCCGGUCCUCGAGCGUAUGGGCUUUGUCACCCGCUCUGUAGGCCCGGCCGGCGCUUGCCGAUCAACCCAAAUUUUUAUCCAGGUUGACCUCGGAUCAGGUAGGGAUACCCGCUGAACUUAAGCAUAUCAAUAAGCGGAGGA